Molecule: ribosomal RNA, 550 nt
Filed under: uncultured bacterium
Lineage: Bacteria
Description: bacterial SSU rRNA
Rfam family: Bacterial small subunit ribosomal RNA
Source: RNAcentral
AGCGGCGGACGGGUGAGUAAUGCCUGGGAAAUUGCCCUGAUGUGGGGGAUAACCAUUGGAAACGAUGGCUAAUACCGCAUAAUAGCUUCGGCUCAAAGAGGGGGACCUUCGGGCCUCUCGCGUCAGGAUAUGCCCAGGUGGGAUUAGCUAGUUGGUGAGGUGAGGGCUCACCAAGGCGACGAUCCCUAGCUGGUCUGAGAGGAUGAUCAGCCACACUGGAACUGAGACACGGUCCAGACUCCUACGGGAGGCAGCAGUGGGGAAUAUUGCACAAUGGGCGCAAGCCUGAUGCAGCCAUGCCGCGUGUAUGAAGAAGGCCUUCGGGUUGUAAAGUACUUUCAGCAGUGAGGAAGGCAGGUACGUUAAUAGCGUGCUUGUUUGACGUUAGCUGCAGAAGAAGCACCGGCUAACUCCGUGCCAGCAGCCGCGGUAAUACGGAGGGUGCGAGCGUUAAUCGGAAUUACUGGGCGUAAAGCGCAUGCAGGUGGUUUGUUAAGUCAGAUGUGAAAGCCCGGGGCUCAACCUCGGAAUUGCAUUUGAAACUGGCAGA